This 331-nucleotide ribosomal RNA is filed under the name uncultured bacterium. RNAcentral describes it as "bacterial SSU rRNA". It matches the Rfam family "Bacterial small subunit ribosomal RNA", at positions 568 to 898 of the family's 1533-position model. The record is from RNAcentral.
UGUGUAGGCGGUUGCUUAAGUUUGGUGUGAAAUCUCCCGGCUCAACUGGGAGGGUGCGCCGAAUACUGAGUGACUUCGAGUGCGGGAGAGGAAAGUGGAAUUCCUGGUGUAGCGGUGAAAUGCGUAGAUAUCAGGAGGAACACCGGUGGUGUAGACGGCUUUCUGGGCCGUAACUGACGCUGAGACACGAGAGCGUGGGUAGCAAACAGGAUUAGAUACCCUGGUAGUCCACGCCCUAAACGAUGCAUAUUUGGUGUGGGUCAUUCAGUUGAUCCGUGCCGGAGCUAACGCGUUAAAUAUGCCGCCUGGGGAGUACAGUCGCAAGGCUGAA